UUCGAUAUGGUGUAGUGGCCAACAUGAUGCCCUCUCAUUGCCGUGAGAGUUUAGGCAUAGCCCCGAGUUCGAUUCUCGGUUUCGGAA
This 87-nucleotide transfer RNA is filed under the name Colletotrichum lupini. RNAcentral describes it as "tRNA-Glu". It matches the Rfam family "tRNA". From Rfam's summary of the family: Transfer RNA (tRNA) molecules are approximately 80 nucleotides in length. Their secondary structure includes four short double-helical elements and three loops (D, anti-codon, and T loops). The record is from RNAcentral. Lineage: Eukaryota; Fungi; Ascomycota; Sordariomycetes; Glomerellales; Glomerellaceae.